This 425-nucleotide ribosomal RNA is filed under the name uncultured bacterium. Its description in RNAcentral is "partial 16S ribosomal RNA". It matches the Rfam family "Bacterial small subunit ribosomal RNA", at positions 354 to 796 of the family's 1533-position model. The record is from RNAcentral.
GUGGGGAAUCUUAGACAAUGGGCGCAAGCCUGAUCUAGCCAUGCCGCGUGAGCGAUGAAGGCCUUAGGGUUGUAAAGCUCUUUCGUGGGGGAAGAUAAUGACUGUACCCCAAGAAGAAGCCCCGGCUAACUCCGUGCCAGCAGCCGCGGUAAUACGGAGGGGGCUAGCGUUGUUCGGAAUUACUGGGCGUAAAGCGCACGUAGGCGGACUGGAAAGUCAGGGGUGAAAUCCCGGGGCUCAACCCCGGAACUGCCUUUGAAACUCCCAGUCUUGAGUUCGAGAGAGGUGAGUGGAAUUCCGAGUGUAGAGGUGAAAUUCGUAGAUAUUCGGAGGAACACCAGUGGCGAAGGCGAAUUGCUGGACAGUAACUGACGCUGAGGCGCGAAAGCGUGGGGAGCAAACAGGAUUAGAUACCCCUGUAGUCC